RNAcentral lists this ribosomal RNA (497 nucleotides) under uncultured bacterium. Its description in RNAcentral is "partial 16S ribosomal RNA". It matches the Rfam family "Bacterial small subunit ribosomal RNA", at positions 28 to 506 of the family's 1533-position model. The record is from RNAcentral.
GAUGAACGCUGGCGGCGUUCCUAAUACAUGCAAGUCGAGCGAACAGACGAGGAGCUUGCUCCUCUGACGUUAGCGGCGGACGGGUGAGUAACACGUGGAUAACCUACCUAUAAGACUGGGAUAACUUCGGGAAACCGGAGCUAAUACCGGAUAAUAUAUUGAACCGCAUGGUUCAAUAGUGAAAGACGGUUUUGCUGUCACUUAUAGAUGGAUCCGCGCCGCAUUAGCUAGUUGGUAAGGUAACGGCUUACCAAGGCAACGAUGCGUAGCCGACCUGAGAGGGGGGAUCGGCCCACUGGGACAUGAGCCACGGCCCAACCCCCGAGGGGGGGCAGGAGGAGGGAAUUUUCCGCAAGGGGCGAAAGCUUGACGGAGCAACGCCGGGGGGGUGAGGAAGGUUUUCGGAUCGUAAAACUCUUUUAUUAGGGAAAAAAAAAUGGGAAAGUAACGAUGCCCGUUUGGCCGGUACCAAAACAAAAAGCCCCGGCUAACUACGG